Molecule: ribosomal RNA, 465 nt
Filed under: Vreelandella stevensii
Lineage: Bacteria; Pseudomonadati; Pseudomonadota; Gammaproteobacteria; Oceanospirillales; Halomonadaceae
Description: partial 16S ribosomal RNA
Rfam family: Bacterial small subunit ribosomal RNA
Source: RNAcentral
CCUACGGGUGGCUGCAGUGGGGAAUAUUGGACAAUGGGGGCAACCCUGAUCCAGCCAUGCCGCGUGUGUGAAGAAGGCCCUCGGGUUGUAAAGCACUUUCAGUGAGGAAGAACGCCUGGUGGUUAAUACCCAUCAGGAAAGACAUCACUCACAGAAGAAGCACCGGCUAACUCCGUGCCAGCAGCCGCGGUAAUACGGAGGGUGCGAGCGUUAAUCGGAAUUUCUGGGCGUAAAGCGCACGUAGGUGGCUUGAUAAGCCGGUUGUGAAAGCCCCGGGCUCAACCUGGGAACGGCAUCCGGAACUGUCAAGCUAGAGUGCAGGAGAGGAAGGUAGAAUUCCCGGUGUAGCGGUGAAAUGCGUAGAGAUCGGGAGGAAUACCAGUGGCGAAGGCGGCCUUCUGGACUGACACUGACGCUGAGGUGCGAAAGCGUGGGUAGCAAACAGGAUUAGAUACCCGAGUAGUC